Molecule: ribosomal RNA, 590 nt
Filed under: uncultured bacterium
Lineage: Bacteria
Description: bacterial SSU rRNA
Rfam family: Bacterial small subunit ribosomal RNA
Source: RNAcentral
UCCUACGGGAGGCAGCAGUAGGGAAUCUUCCGCAAUGGACGAAAGUCUGACGGAGCAACGCCGCGUGAGUGAUGAAGGCUUUCGGGUCGUAAAACUCUGUUGUUAGGGAAGAACAAGUGCUAGUUGAAUAAGCUGGCACCUUGACGGUACCUAACCAGAAAGCCACGGCUAACUACGUGCCAGCAGCCGCGGUAAUACGUAGGUGGCAAGCGUUAUCCGGAAUUAUUGGGCGUAAAGCGCGCGCAGGUGGUUUCUUAAGUCUGAUGUGAAAGCCCACGGCUCAACCGUGGAGGGUCAUUGGAAACUGGGAGACUUGAGUGCAGAAGAGGAAAGUGGAAUUCCAUGUGUAGCGGUGAAAUGCGUAGAGAUAUGGAGGAACGCCAGUGGCGAAGGCGACUUUCUGGUCUGUAACUGACACUGAGGCGCGAAAGCGUGGGGAGCAAACAGGAUUAGAUACCCUGGUAGUCCACGCCGUAAACGAUGAGUGCUAAGUGUUAGAGGGUUUCCGCCCUUUAGUGCUGAAGUUAACGCAUUAAGCACUCCGCCUGGGGAGUACGGCCGCAAGGCUGAAACUCAAAGGAAUUGACGGA